UACGAAGGGUGCGAGCGUUAAUCGGAAUUACUGGGCGUAAAGCGUGCGCAGGCGGCUUUGCAAGACAGAUGUGAAAUCCCCGGGCUCAACCUGGGAACUGCAUUUGUGACUGCAAGGCUAGAGUACGGCAGAGGGGGAUGGAAUUCCGCGUGUAGCAGUGAAAUGCGUAGAUAUGCGGAGGAACACCGAUGGCGAAGGCAAUCCCCUGGGCCUGCACUGACGCUCAUGCACGAAAGCGUGGGGAGCAAACAGG
This 253-nucleotide ribosomal RNA is filed under the name uncultured bacterium. Its description in RNAcentral is "partial 16S ribosomal RNA". It matches the Rfam family "Bacterial small subunit ribosomal RNA", at positions 524 to 776 of the family's 1533-position model. The record is from RNAcentral.